GACGAACGCUGGCGGCGUGCUUAACACAUGCAAGUCGAACGGAAAGGCCCUGCUUUUGUGGGGUUCUCGAGUGGCGAACGGGUGAGUAACACGUGAGUAACCUGCCCUUGACUUUGGGAUAACUUCAGGAAACUGGGGCUAAUACCGGAUAGGAGCUCCUGCUGCAUGGUGGGGGUUGGAAAGUUUCGGCGGUUGGGGAUGGACUCGCGGCUUAUCAGCUUGUUGGUGGGGUAGUGGCUUACCAAGGCUUUGACGGGUAGCCGGCAUGAGAGGGUGACCGGCCACAUUGGGACUGAGAUACGGACCAGACUCGUACGGGAGGCAGCAGUGGGGAAUAUUGCACAAUGGGCGGAAGCGUGAUGCAGCAACGCCGCGUGCGGGAUGACGGCCUUCGGGUUGUAAACCGCUGUAGCCUGUGACGAAGCGUGAGUGACGGUAAUGGGUAAAGAAGCACCGGCUAACUACGUG
This 468-nucleotide ribosomal RNA is filed under the name uncultured bacterium. RNAcentral describes it as "partial 16S ribosomal RNA". It matches the Rfam family "Bacterial small subunit ribosomal RNA", at positions 28 to 507 of the family's 1533-position model. The record is from RNAcentral.